This 430-nucleotide ribosomal RNA is filed under the name uncultured bacterium. RNAcentral's name for it is "partial 16S ribosomal RNA". It matches the Rfam family "Bacterial small subunit ribosomal RNA", at positions 29 to 504 of the family's 1533-position model. The record is from RNAcentral.
AACGAACGCUGGCGGCAUGCCUAACACAUGCAAGUCGAACGAACCCUUCGGGGUUAGUGGCGCACGGGUGCGUAACGCGUGGGAAUCUGCCCUUUGCUUCGGAAUAACUCAGGGAAACUUGUGCUAAUACCGGAUGAUGUCUUCGGACCAAAGAUUUAUCGGCAAGGGAUGAGCCCGCGUAGGAUUAGGUAGUUGGUGGGGUAAAGGCCUACCAAGCCGACGAUCCUUAGCUGGUCUGAGAGGAUGAUCAGCCACACUGGGACUGAGACACGGCCCAGACUCCUACGGGAGGCAGAAGUGGGGAAUAUUGGACAAUGGGCGCAAGACUGAUCCAGCAAUGCCGCGGGAGUGAUGAAGGCCCUCGGGUCGUAAAGCUCUUUUACCAGGGAUGAUAAUGACAGUACCUGGAGAAUAAGCUCCGGCUAACUCC